CGUGAUGCGCGGCUACCAUGCAGUCGAGCGAACCUUCGGGUUAGCGGCGGACGGGUGAGUAACGCGUGGGAACGUACCCUCUUCUGCGGGAUAGCCACUGGAAACGGUGAGUAAUACCGCAUACGCCCUUCGGGGGAAAGAUUUAUCGGAGGAGGAUCGGCCCGCGUUGGAUUAGGUAGUUGGUGGGGUAAUGGCCUACCAAGCCUACGAUCCAUAGCUGGUUUUAGAGGAUGAUCAGCCACACUGGGACUGAGACACGGCCCAGACUCCUACGGGAGGCAGCAGUGGGGAAUCUUAGACAAUGGGCGCAAGCCUGAUCUAGCCAUGCCGCGUGAGUGACGAAGGCCUUAGGGUCGUAAAGCUCUUUCGCCAGAGAUGAUAAUGACAGUAUCUGGUAAAGAAACCCCGGCUAACUCCGUGCCAGCAGCCGCGGUAAUACGGAGGGGGUUAGCGUUGUUCGGAAUUACUGGGCGUAAAGCGCACGUAGGCGGAUUGGAAAGUUGGGGGUGAAAUCCCAGGGCUCAACCCUGGAACUGCCUCCAAAACUCCCAGUCUGGAGUUCGAGAGAGGUGAGUGGAAUUCCGAGUGUAGAGGUGAAAUUCGUAGAUAUUCGGAGGAACACCAGUGGCGAAGGCGGCUCACUGGCUCGAUACUGACGCU
This 660-nucleotide ribosomal RNA is filed under the name Roseovarius sp. RNAcentral's name for it is "bacterial SSU rRNA". It matches the Rfam family "Bacterial small subunit ribosomal RNA", at positions 38 to 747 of the family's 1533-position model. The record is from RNAcentral. Lineage: Bacteria; Pseudomonadati; Pseudomonadota; Alphaproteobacteria; Rhodobacterales; Roseobacteraceae.